RNAcentral lists this ribosomal RNA (751 nucleotides) under uncultured Actinomyces sp. RNAcentral describes it as "bacterial SSU rRNA". It matches the Rfam family "Bacterial small subunit ribosomal RNA", at positions 28 to 776 of the family's 1533-position model. The record is from RNAcentral. Lineage: Bacteria; Bacillati; Actinomycetota; Actinomycetes; Actinomycetales; Actinomycetaceae.
GACGAACGCUGGCGGCGUGCUUAACACAUGCAAGUCGAACGCUGAAGCCUAGCUUGCUGGGUGGGUGAGUGGCGAACGGGUGAGUAACACGUGAGUAACCUGCCCUCUUCUUUGGGAUAACGCCCGGAAACGGGUGCUAAUACUGGAUAUUCACUGAUUCUCGCAUGGGGGUUGGUGGAAAGGUUUUUUCUGGUGGGGGAUGGGCUCGCGGCCUAUCAGCUUGUUGGUGGGGUGAUGGCCUACCAAGGCUUUGACGGGUAGCCGGCCUGAGAGGGUGACCGGUCACAUUGGGACUGAGAUACGGCCCAGACUCCUACGGGAGGCAGCAGUGGGGAAUAUUGCACAAUGGGCGAAAGCCUGAUGCAGCGACGCCGCGUGAGGGAUGGAGGCCUUCGGGUUGUAAACCUCUUUCGCUCAUGGUCAAGCCGCAACUUAGGGUUGUGGUGAGGGUAGUGGGUAAAGAAGCGCCGGCUAACUACGUGCCAGCAGCCGCGGUAAUACGUAGGGCGCGAGCGUUGUCCGGAAUUAUUGGGCGUAAAGGGCUUGUAGGCGGUUGGUCGCGUCUGCCGUGAAAUCCUCUGGCUUAACUGGGGGCGUGCGGUGGGUACGGGCUGACUUGAGUGCGGUAGGGGAGACUGGAACUCCUGGUGUAGCGGUGGAAUGCGCAGAUAUCAGGAAGAACACCGGUGGCGAAGGCGGGUCUCUGGGCCGUUACUGACGCUGAGGAGCGAAAGCGUGGGGAGCGAACAGG